This is a long non-coding RNA of Daphnia magna, 1497 nucleotides long. RefSeq lists it as uncharacterized. The transcript has 4 exons. Lineage: Eukaryota; Metazoa; Arthropoda; Branchiopoda; Diplostraca; Daphniidae. The record is from RefSeq and is a predicted model, not a curated record.
UUUAAAGAGUAAACCAAUCACUUAAUCGAAAUCCGCGUUUAGUUUAGAUUAUGCCAUGAACGAAAAUCACGGAAAUCAAGUGUAUGUUCUCGAGGGACUUAUAGUUUUUUUAAACGUAAAAAACGAACGCACAAAGUUAAAAUAACAGCACUUUGGUUCCAUUUAUUUUUAGAACGGCUUAAUCUACGGAAAAUUACUAUUUUAUUUGGAAUAAGCGUUUGAUUUUGGAAAAAGAAAACUCUGCUCUACCUCAACGCUUAUUUAAAUCUAUACAACACCAGGGGUUGCUGUGCUGGGCUUUUAAAACAGUAUAGAGGAUUAUUCCAUGAAUUUAGUUCACUCAAACAGCAUAUUUUAUCAACGAGUACAUACCUUCAUGGGAUAGCACACCUUUUGCAAGCCUACCAAACACACCUAGGUUUGCAUUGGAAUGAUGGGUCAAAAAACAUUUGAACUGUAGGUAGUGGCUAUCAUUGUUUGCUCUACGUCUACGUUCAUGGCAUACAAUUGCCGUUUAGAUAAAAUCUAUAUAGUAAAGGGUUUGCUCAAAAGCCACCCAAGUUCCUGCUUGUGAUGGUCUCGAACAACAGAUGCCCCUUACCCUUACACUACCUUGUGGGAUUUUGAAGGGUUGCAUUGGGUUACAAGGGACAAAGAACGUAACCGGCAGGUAAACAAGCAAGUGCUGCUGCAGGAACAAAUGUUUGUGUGAGGGUGCUCGUGACGAUCGACCCAAGGAUGGUCACUGUUGUAUACGUCAAGAAGUUCUGUAUAUUAAACUUGAAAGCUUUUUCUUCCCUCUGCUGCUUUGCCAUGUAUGUCACUAGGCUGUUGGAUUCGUCGUUGUUAUGGAGUGUCUCUUCUUUCGAUGAGGCCAUCUCUACUGGCGGAGUCUGGAUGAGAUCAUGUGGUAGAAUCGACAAAAAAGGCUCCAAGGAUUAAUUGGAAAUUGGCUCUCGUCUUUUUCGAGGGCGUGAUCGACUUCAGGGCUACGCUUUCGACGGCAAGGCACAGGUGGGUCGCUUGGAUCAAGAUUAGUAAUCUGAAUGCACGACACAAUACUAAUGGUUGUGCAUGUUGAAGUAACUUUAACGGUCAGGGUUUUCGACAGCAAAUUGGAGCCAUCGAGGUAAAAAAGACGGGCAUUUUGUUGUUGGUUGCCAGCGGACAAACCUUGAUAAAAGCCGAAAUUCUUUAUUCUUGGCUUGACGUUAGCCAUUUGAUUUUGGUUGGUCAUAUGUUGCUGAGCCAUAACAGGAAUUAUUUUUCCUAGUUUAUCGUCUUCAUUUUGAAAGCCUAACUUGGGACGGGAAUAACCUACUUUACUCGGACCAUCCGCGAAUAAGUUUUGACUGGCAAGCAAUUCUAUGAUUGACUCGUCUCCAUCAGCCUAAAAACGGUUUUGUGUCGGCUGAACUUCGAAAAUAUGUUUUCUUUACUUGCAAUUUACCUGUGAAUAAACGGCUGAGGGCGCGAUAGGUCUCACAUAAGGAAAGA